ACUUAAAUAAUUUAAUAAUAAAAUAUUGAUUUGUGGUAUCAAAUAUAUGAUUUUUCAUUUUAAGUC
RNAcentral lists this transfer RNA (66 nucleotides) under Choristoneura metasequoiacola. RNAcentral's name for it is "tRNA-His". The record is from RNAcentral. Lineage: Eukaryota; Metazoa; Arthropoda; Insecta; Lepidoptera; Tortricidae.